RNAcentral lists this ribosomal RNA (1031 nucleotides) under Apilactobacillus kunkeei. RNAcentral's name for it is "bacterial SSU rRNA". It matches the Rfam family "Bacterial small subunit ribosomal RNA", at positions 63 to 1066 of the family's 1533-position model. Lineage: Bacteria; Bacillati; Bacillota; Bacilli; Lactobacillales; Lactobacillaceae. The record is from RNAcentral.
CUCUCAAUUGUUUUAUGCUUGCAUAAAUGAUUUUUGGAUUCGGAGCGAGUGGCGAACUGGUGAGUAACACGUGGGUAACCUGCCCCGAAGCGGGGGAUAACAUUUGGAAACAAGUGCUAAUACCGCAUAAUUAGUUGGAACCGCAUGGUUCCAACUUGAAAGAUGGCUCUGCUAUCACUUUGGGAUGGACCCGCGCCGUAUUAGUUAGUUGGUGAGAUAAAAGCCCACCAAGACGAUGAUACGUAGCCGACCUGAGAGGGUAAUCGGCCACAUUGGGACUGAGACACGGCCCAGACUCCUACGGGAGGCAGCAGUAGGGAAUCUUCCACAAUGGACGAAAGUCUGAUGGAGCAACGCCGCGUGAGUGAUGAAGGUUUUCGGAUCGUAAAACUCUGUUGUUAAAGAAGAACAAGUGUUAGAGUAACUGUUAACACUUUGACGGUAUUUAACCAGAAAGCCACGGCUAACUACGUGCCAGCAGCCGCGGUAAUACGUAGGUGGCAAGCGUUGUCCGGAUUUAUUGGGCGUAAAGCGAGCGCAGGCGGUUUUGUAAGUCUGCUGUGAAAGCCCUCAGCUCAACUGAGGAAGUGCAGUGGAAACUACAAAACUUGAGUACAGAAGAGGAAAGUGGAACUCCAUGUGUAGCGGUGAAAUGCGUAGAUAUAUGGAAGAACACCAGUGGCGAAGGCGGCUUUCUGGUCUGUUACUGACGCUGAGGCUCGAAAGCAUGGGGUAGCGAACAGGAUUAGAUACCCUGGUAGUCCAUGCCGUAAACGAUGAAUACUAGGUGUUGGGAGGGUUUUCGCCCUUCAGUGCCGCAGCUAACGCAUUAAGUAUUCCGCUGGGGAGUACGACCGCAAGGUUUGAAACUCAAAGGAAUUGACGGGGGCCGCACAAGUGGUGGAGCAUUGUGGUUUAAUUCGAUGCUACGCGAAGACCCUUACCAGCUCUUGACAUCUUCUGCCACCAGAGAUUGGGCGUUCCUUCGGGACAGAAUGACAGUGGGUGCAUGGUUGUCGUCAGCUCGGGUC